AUACAUAGGGGGCAAGCGUUAUCCGGAAUUAUUGGGCGUAAAGGGUGCGUAGGCGGUCUAUUAAGUCUGAGGUGUAAGUGCAGGGCUCAACCCUGUGAUGCUUUAGAAACUGGUAGACUUGAGUGAGAUAGAGGCAAGUGGAAUUCCAUGUGUAGCGGUAAAAUGCGUAAACAUAUGGAGGAACACCAGUGGCGAAGGCGGCUUGCUGGGUCUAUACUGACGCUGAGGCACGAAAGCGUGGGGAGCAAACAGGAUUAGAUACCCUGGUAGUCCACGCCGUAAACGAUGAGUACUAAGUGUUGCGAGAACGCAGUGCUGAAGUUAACAUAUUAAGUACUCCGCCUGAGUAGUACGUACGCAAGUAUGAAACUCAAAGGAAUUGACGGGG
Molecule: ribosomal RNA, 388 nt
Filed under: uncultured bacterium
Lineage: Bacteria
Description: partial 16S ribosomal RNA
Rfam family: Bacterial small subunit ribosomal RNA
Source: RNAcentral